RNAcentral lists this ribosomal RNA (254 nucleotides) under uncultured bacterium. RNAcentral's name for it is "partial 16S ribosomal RNA". It matches the Rfam family "Bacterial small subunit ribosomal RNA", at positions 524 to 776 of the family's 1533-position model. The record is from RNAcentral.
UACGAAGGUGGCAAGCGUUGUUCGGAUUUACUGGGCGUAAAGAGUGUGUAGGCGGUGCUCUAAGUUUGGUGUGAAAUCUCCCGGCUCAACUGGGAGGGUGCGCCGAAUACUGAAUGACUUCGAGUACGGGAGAGGUGAGUGGAAUUCCUGGUGUAGCGGUGAAAUGCGUAGAUAUCAGGAGGAACACCGGUGGUGUAGACGGCUCACUGGACCGUAACUGACGCUGAGACACGAAAGCGUGGGUAGCAAACAGG